RNAcentral lists this long non-coding RNA (237 nucleotides) under Elaeis guineensis (African oil palm). RNAcentral's name for it is "long non-coding RNA (EGUI_LNC008378)". Lineage: Eukaryota; Viridiplantae; Streptophyta; Magnoliopsida; Arecales; Arecaceae. The record is from RNAcentral.
UGCCCACCAGCUAUCCUUUAUACACACACCGAUGUUCAUUGUACUCUUAUGAUAUCUAUAUUACUACGUGUAAAAUUUGAAACCAUUUAUGUUAUAGCUAUUAUAACAUAUCACAUACUUUAUUUGCUUGUAACAUAAUGGUCUUAGCUUCCUAGGUAUGGAUUCACCUCCUUGCAUGACCUGCAUAUUAUAAAAGGAAUAAAUUAAAAAAAAAUAAAAAAAUAAAAAGACAAUGGU